RNAcentral lists this ribosomal RNA (468 nucleotides) under uncultured bacterium. RNAcentral describes it as "partial 16S ribosomal RNA". It matches the Rfam family "Bacterial small subunit ribosomal RNA", at positions 28 to 507 of the family's 1533-position model. The record is from RNAcentral.
GACGAACGCUGGCGGCGUGCUUAACACAUGCAAGUCGAACGGAAGGGCCCUGCUUUUGUGGGGUGCUCGAGAGGCGAACGGGUGAGUAACACGUGAGUAACCUGCCCUUGACUUUGGGAUAACUUCAGGAAACUGGGGCUAAUACCGGAUAGGAGCUCCUGCUGCAUGGUGGGGGUUGGAAAGUUUCGGCGGUUGGGGAUGGACUCGCGGCUUAUCAGCUUGUUGGUGGGGUAGUGGCUUACCAAGGCUUUGACGGGUAGCCGGCCUGAGAGGGUGACCGGCCACAUUGGGACUGAGAUACGGCCCAGACUCCUACGGGAGGCAGCAGUGGGGAAUAUUGCACAAUGGGCGGAAGCCUGAUGCAGCAACGCCGCGUGCGGGAUGACGGCCUUCGGGUUGUAAACCGCUUUCGCCUGUGACGAAGCGUGAGUGACGGUAAUGGGUAAAGAAGCACCGGCUAACUACGUG